AGUCUUAUAUUCAAUUAUGAUUUAAAAUUGCAAAUUUUAAGGUGUAUUUUAAUUACUAAGGCUU
This 64-nucleotide transfer RNA is filed under the name Mallika jacksoni. Its description in RNAcentral is "tRNA-Cys". The record is from RNAcentral. Lineage: Eukaryota; Metazoa; Arthropoda; Insecta; Lepidoptera; Nymphalidae.